Molecule: long non-coding RNA, 5570 nt
Filed under: Homo sapiens (human)
Lineage: Eukaryota; Metazoa; Chordata; Mammalia; Primates; Hominidae
Description: non-protein coding lnc-ZNF26-12:4
Source: RNAcentral
GAGGAGCCCGGCUCUGGACACGGCCGUCAGGAAGCUCAGAGGCUGCAGCACCGCUUCUGCGUUGAUUUCCGCUUGACUUUUACUCUUUUCUUGGGUUAAAAAUCAAACGCCGACCCGAGGCGUCAGAGAUGGGCGGUCGUUAGGCGCAGUGGCGGCCCCCGGAUGUUUGCGAUGGGACGGCGGGCUCGGAACGUGUGGACGUGGGCUUUGGAGACAGCGUCUCACCCUGUCGCCCAGGCUGGAGUGCAACGGCACAAUCUCGGCUCACUGCAACCUCCACCUCCAGGGUUCAAGCAAUUCCCCUGCCUCAGCUUCCCAAGUAGCUGGGAUUACAGGCACACACCACCACACCUGGCUAAUUUUUUGCAUCUUUGGUAGAGACGGGGUUUCACCAUGUUGGCCAGGCUGGUCUUGAUCUCCUGACCUCGUGAUCCAUCUGCCUUGGCCUCCCAAAGUACUGGGAUUACAGGCGUUAGCCACCGCGCCCUGCCUCACUAGUCUUUUCAAGAAAGAAGCUUUUAGAUGUGGAUUUAUUAUCUGUUAAUUCUCAUUUUCAUCUUCAUUAUUUCCUUUUUGCUACUUUUAUUUGGAUAUUUUCUAGGAUUCUUCCUAAUCUCUUGGGUUGGAUGCUUAACACUUACAUUUCCAUUGAUCCUGUUUUCCUAAUAGAGGCAUUUGGGGUAAUGCAUUUUCCAGUAAGUGCCACUUUAGAUUAUAUCCCAUUUUGUGUGGUGUCCUAUAUCAGUUAAACCCACCGUAUUCAUUGUAUAAAUCAAAUUUUUCAUAUACUUACUGUAUUAGUCCAUUUUCACGCUGCUGAUAAAGACAUACCCAAGACUGAGUAAUUUAUAAAGUAAAAGAGGUUUAAUGGACUCACAGUUCCAUGUGGCUGGGGAGGCCUCAUAAUCAUGGUGGGUGAAAGGCACUUCUGACAUGCUGGUGGCAAGAGAGAAUCAGAGCACCAAGCAAAAAGGAAACCCCUUGUCAAAUCACCAGAUCUCAUGAGACUUAUUCACUACCAUGAGAACAGUAUCAGGGAAACCACUCCCAAGAUUCAGUUAUCUCCCACUGGGUCCCUCCCACAAUAUGUGGGAAUUGUGGGAGCUGCAAUUCAAGAUGAGAUUUGGGUGGGGACAUAGCCAAAACAAGUUAUCUCCCACCAGGUCCCUCCCACAUGUGGGAAUUAAGGGAGCUGCAAUUCAAGAAGAGAUUUGGGUGGGGACACAGCCAAACCAGAUCACUUACCAAUUAUGUGCUGUCCUGCUCUAUCAAUUCCUAAGAAAAGUGUGCAAAAAUUUCCAAAUGGUAAUGUGGAUUUGUAGUUUAUUCCUCUAAUUGUCCUAUUUUGUAUAAUACAUUCUUUGGUCUAUGUUAAUUUGAAAUUUUGAACAUAGAAUCAUUAUAUCUUCAUAGAAAAUUGUACUUUUAUCCUUAUAUAAUGACCCUUUUUAUUCCUAACGAUGGUUUCCCUAAAGCUUAUGUUACCCAAUUAAUGUUUGCCAGGUAUAUAUUUUUCCACUCAUACUCACUUUUUAUAACAUUUUUAUGCAUUUAUUUUAUAAACAUAUACAUGGAAUAUUUUAAAGCAUAAUGCGACAUUCUGCUUUUAAACCGAUGAGUUUAUAUGAUUUGUGAUUAUUGAUACAGUUGGCUGGGUGCGGUGGCUCACGCCUGUAAUCCCAGCAUUUUGGGAAGCCGAGGUGGGCAGAUUACUAGGUCAGGAGAUCGAGACCAUCCUGGCUAACAUGGUGAACCCCCAUCUCUACUAAAAAUACAAAAAAUUAGCCGGGUGUGGUGGUGGGUGCCUUUUGCUCUUCUUGCCCAGGCUGGAGUGCGAUGGCGCGAUCUCAACUCACUGCAACCUCUUCCUCCCAGGUUCAAGCAUUUCUCCUGCCUCAGCCUCCUGAGUAGCUGGGAUGACAGGUGCCUGACACCACGCCCAGCUAAUUUUUGUAUUUUUAGUAGAGACUGGGGUUUCUCCAUGUUGGUCGGGCUGGUCUCGAACUCCUGACCUCAGGUGAUCCACCAGCCUCGGCCUCCCAAAGUGCUGGGAUUACAGGUGUGAGCCACCACGCCUGGCUCCAAUUUUUUUUUUUUUUUUUUUGAGACAGAGUUUUCACUCUUGUUGCCCAGGCUGGAAUGCAGUGGCACAGUCUUGGCUCACUACAACUUCCACCUCCCAGGUUCAAGCGAUUCUCCUGCCUCAGCCUCCCAAGUAGCUGGAAUUACACACACCCACCACCACAGCUGGCUAAUUUUUUGUAUUUAGUAGAGAGAGGGUUUCACCAUGUUGGUCUGGCUGGUCUGGAAUUCCUGACCUCAGGUGAUCUGUCUGCCUUGGCCUCCCAAAGUGCUGGGAUUACAGGCGUGAGCCACUGCACCCAGCGUCCCAACAUUUUUAUCUCUGAUCAUCCUGAACACAUACCAUGUUACUCACUGUUUUAGUUCUGCGUUAUUUUUGUUGCAUAACCAGUAACAUAACAUUAUUAUUGUUAGUUUACAUAGCCAAUACUAGUUUAGGUUCACAUGUAUUACCUCUUGGCUUCACCCACUACUUUUCUCUGAUGGCAAUCUUUGGAAGUUCCUUCAUUGAGGGUUUAUUAGUGGUAAACUCUUUAUCUUUGCUGUGGUGCAGUGUCUAGAAUUUUUGUUAAGUGAAGGUUUUACAUUUAAAUCUUCAUCUAUUAAGUUUGAAUAUGGGAUGAGUUAUGGAUUGAGGUUCAUUUGUUUUGUAUAUUGACUUUCAAUUGUUGCAGCACCAUUUUUUUAAACCACUAUUUUCAUUGAUUUGCCCUUGCAACUUUGUCAAAAAUCAAUUGACCAUAUACACGAAGGUCUAUUUAUGUAUUCUCAAUUAUGGUCCAUGAUCUAUGUGUUUAUCCUUUCUCUGACACAAUGUUUAGAUUGCUGUAUCUUUACAGUAAGUUUCGAAGUCAGGGAGUGCGAGUCUUCCAGCUCUGUUCCUCUUUGACAAAAGAUGUUUUGGCUAUUCUAGUUUCUUCUGCUUUUCCAAAUAAAUUUGAUUAACUUGUUAAUGUCUACAAAAACUCCUGCUGGAAUUUCCAUUGGGAUCGCAAUAAAUUUAUAGGUAAAUCUAGAGAGAACUGACAUUCUACUAUUUAUUGUUCCAAACCACAAAUAUGAUACAUAUUUCCAUUUAUUUAGGAUUUGGAUUUCCCUUAUUUCUCUCAUAAGCGUUUUGACGUUUUCAACAUACAGAUCUUUUAUAACAACACUUACCCACUUCCCACCAUUCUACCCCCAUUCCUAAACCUUGGCAACACAAGAAUCUGUCCUCCAUUAAAAAUGUUAUGAUUUCAGAAAUGUUAUAUAAAUGGAAUAAUACAAUAUGCAACCUUAUGGGACUGAUUUCUUGCAUUUGGUGUACUUCUCUAGAGAUUAAUCCAAGUUUUUGUGUGUAUCAGUAGUCCAUUUAUUUUCCUGAAUAGCAUUCCAUAUGUGUGUGCCACAAUUUGUUUAACCAUUUACCUUAUUCUCAGUUUUUGGCUGUUCAAAUAAACUGAUAUUAAUCUGUGUACAGGUUUUGGUGAGAAAAUAUAUUUAUCUGGGAUAAAUCCCCAAAAGUGCAAUUGCUAGGUUAUAUGGUAAUUUGAUGUUUAAUUCAUAAGAAACUGCCAAACUGUUUUCUAGAAUUGCUGUACCAUUUUCCACUCCCACUGGUAAUGUAUUAGUGAUACAGCUUCUAUGUACCCUCAACAUUUGAUGGUGUCACUAUUUUUUUUUUUUUUUUUUUUAGACAGAGUCUUGCUCUGUUGCCCAGGCUGGAGUGCAAUGGCGUGUCUUGGCUCACUGCAACCUCCGCCUCCAGGUACAAGCAGUUCUCUGCCUCAGCCUCCCGAGUAGCUGGGAUUACAGGUGCGCACCACCAUGCCUGGCUAAUUUUUGUAUUUUUAGUAGAGAUGGAGUUUCACCAUCUUGGCCAGGCUGGUCUCGAACUCCUGACCGCGUGAUCCACCCGCCUCAGCCUCCCAAAGUGCUGGGCUUACAAGCAUGAGCCACUGCACCCAGCCGCUGUCACUAUUUCUUUUCUUUUUUGAGACGGAGUCACGCUCUGUCGCCCAGGCUGGGGUGCAGGGACACAAUCUCGGUUCACUGUAAGCUCCACCUCCCAGGUUCACACCAACCUCCUGCCUCAGACUAUUUUUUACUUAAGCCAUCUUGAUAUCUUGAUAGGUGUGUAGUAGCACUUCAUUGUGAUUUGAAUUUGCGUUUCCCAAAUCACUAAUGAUAGUGAAUGUUUUUUCAUGUGCUUGUCAUCUGUAUGUUUUUCUCAGUGAAAUAUCUGUUAAUGUCUACUGCCCAUUUUAUAAUGUUUUUUUUUUCUUUUUUUUGGGAUGGAGUUUUGCUCUGUCACCCAGGCUGGAGUGCAAUGGCACAGUCUCGGCUCACUGCAAUCUCCAACUCCUGGAUUCAAACGAUUCUCCUGCCUCAGCCUCCCGAGUAGCUGGAAUUACAGGUGCAUGCCACCACACCUAGCUAAUUUUUAUAUUUUUAGUAUAGACGGGGUUUCACCAUGUUGGCCAGGAUGGUCUCAAUCUCUUGACCUCGUGAUCUGCCCACCUCGGCCUCCCAAAGUGCUGGGAUUACAGGUGUGAGCUACUGCGCCUGGCCUGCUGUACAGUUUUAAAGAUGAAUUACAUUGAUGUAUUUUGAAAUAUUCAACUUACCCUUACAUACGUGGAAUAAAUCCCACUUGGUCAUGGUGCAUACUUCUUAUAUAUUUUGAAUUUUGUUUUCAAAUAUUUUGUUGAGGAUUUUCACAUGUAAGUUCAUGACAGAUAUUGGCCUGUAGUUGUGUGUGUGUGCACACGUGUGCAUGCAGUCAUGCUGUCUUCGGUUUGUUAUCAGGGUAGUGUAAUACUGGCCUCAUAAAAUGAGUUGAGAGAUAUAUUCCCCCUCUUCUAUUUUUCUGGAAUAUCAUGUAAAGCUGAUAUAAAUUAUUCUUUAAAUGACUGGUACAGUUCUCCAUCUGGGCCUAGAGAUUUCUGUUUGGGUAGAUCAUUAGUAGUUCAAUUUCUUUACUGGAUAUAGGGCUUUUCGAUACUCAACUUCAUCAUGGGUGAGUUUUGGUAGUUUGUGGUUUUUAAGAAAUUAAUCCAUUUCUUCCAAGCUGUUGAAUUUAUAAGUGUGAAGUUGUUAGUAGAGAUCCUUUUUUAUUUUUGAUGUUGGCAAGGUCUGUAAUAAAGUAUUUCAUUUUUAAUACUGGUGAUUUGUAUCUUUUUAUUUCUGUCAAUGUUGCUAUAAGUUAAUCAUUUUUGUUAAUUUUUUUAAGAAUGAGCUUUAGUUGUCCUAUUUUCAAUCACUGACUUCAGUUCUUUAUCAUUUUCUUCCUUGCACUUGUUUUGGAUUUAUUUUGCACUUGUUUUUCUAGUUUCCUGAGGUAGAAACUUAAAUUACUGAUUUAAAAAUCUUUCCUUAUUUCUCAUGUACACGUUAGAAGGGUAAAAUCUACUUUUGUGUGUGUGUGUGUGUGUGUGUGUGUUUUUGAGACAGAGUCUUGCUCUGUCCCCCAGUCUGGAGUGCAGUGGCGCUAUCUCGGCUCACUGCAA